This 497-nucleotide ribosomal RNA is filed under the name uncultured bacterium. RNAcentral's name for it is "partial 16S ribosomal RNA". It matches the Rfam family "Bacterial small subunit ribosomal RNA", at positions 29 to 523 of the family's 1533-position model. The record is from RNAcentral.
AAUGAACGCUGGCGGCGUGCCUAAUACAUGCAAGUCGAACGCGAAAGUCCUUCGGGAUGAGUAAAGUGGCGCACGGGUGAGUAAUGCAUGAGAACAUGCCCUUAGAUGGGGAAUAACGUUUGGAAACGAACGCUAAUACCGCAUAAUCUCGAGAGAGUAAAGGUGGCGCCGUAAGGGCUACCGUCUAAGGAUUGGCUCAUGUCCCAUUAGCUAGUUGGCGGGGUAAAGGCCCACCAAGGCAACGAUGGGUAUGUGGUCUGAGAGGAUGAUCACACACACUGGAACUGAGACACGGUCCAGACUCCUACGGGAGGCAGCAGUAGGGAAUAUUGCACAAUGGGGGAAACCCUGAUGCAGCAACGCCGCGUGAGUGAAGAAGGCCCUUGGGUUGUAAAGCUCUUUAGCGCGGGAAGAAGGUGGAUAUGGUGAAUAAUCAUGUUCGCUGACGGUACCGCGAGAAUAAGCACCGGCUAAUUUCGUGCCAGCAGCCGCCGUAA